Molecule: ribosomal RNA, 492 nt
Filed under: uncultured bacterium
Lineage: Bacteria
Description: partial 16S ribosomal RNA
Rfam family: Bacterial small subunit ribosomal RNA
Source: RNAcentral
AGUGAACGCUGGCGGUAGGCCUAACACAUGCAAGUCGAACGGCAGCACAGUAAGAGCUUGCUCUUACGGGUGGCGAGUGGCGGACGGGUGAGGAAUACAUCGGAAUCUACUUUUUCGUGGGGGAUAACGUAGGGAAACUUACGCUAAUACCGCAUACGACCUACGGGUGAAAGCAGGGGAUCUUCGGACCUUGCGCGAUUGAAUGAGCCGAUGUCGGAUUAGCUAGUUGGCGGGAUAAAGGCCCACCAAGGCGACGAUCCGUAGCUGGUCUGAGAGGAUGAUCAGCCACACUGGAACUGAGACACGGUCCAGACUCCUACGGGAGGCAGCAGUGGGGAAUAUUGGACAAUGGGCGCAAGCCUGAUCCAGCCAUACCGCGUGGGUGAAGAAGGCCUUCGGGUUGUAAAGCCCUUUUGUUGGGAAAGAAAAGCAGCAGGUUAAUACCCCGCUGUUCUGACGGUACCCAAAGAAUAAGCACCAGCUAACUUCGUG